CGAGAAUCUGCGGAAAGAGGAUUCGUCCAAUUGAAGCAGAGGACAGUGGCGGACGGGUGAGUAACGCGUGAGGAACCUGCCUUUCAGAGGGGGACAACAGUUGGAAACGACUGCUAAUACCGCAUGACAUAUAGAUGUCGCAUGGCAUUUAUAUCAAAGAUUUAUCGCUGAAAGAUGGCCUCGCGUCUGAUUAGCUAGUUGGUGAGGUAACGGCCCACCAAGGCGACGAUCAGUAGCCGGACUGAGAGGUUGAACGGCCACAUUGGGACUGAGAUACGGCCCAGACUCCUACGGGAGGCAGCAGUGGGGAAUAUUGGGCAAUGGGCGCAAGCCUGACCCAGCAACGCCGCGUGAAGGAAGAAGGCUUUCGGGUUGUAAACUUCUUUUGUCUGGGACGAGUAGAAGACGGUACCUGACGAAUAAGCCACGGCUAACUACGUGCCAGCAGCCGCGGUAAUACGUAGGUGGCAAGCGUUGUCCGGAUUUACUGGGUGUAAAGGGCGUGUAGCCGGGAGGACAAGUCAGAUGUGAAAUCCACGGGCUCAACUCGUGAACUGCAUUUGAAACUACUCUUCUUGAGUAUCGGAGAGGCAAUCGGAAUUCCUAGUGUAGCGGUGAAAUGCGUAGAUAUUAGGAGGAACA
RNAcentral lists this ribosomal RNA (642 nucleotides) under uncultured bacterium. RNAcentral's name for it is "bacterial SSU rRNA". It matches the Rfam family "Bacterial small subunit ribosomal RNA", at positions 63 to 708 of the family's 1533-position model. The record is from RNAcentral.